UCUGUUCUAGUUCCUUCUGGAUGGCCUAAAAAGUAUGAGAAAUAGUCUACUGAAACACGAAAGACAAAGCCAGAACUGCACAGUUCUGCAGGUGCCUAGGAGAACUCCGGGACAGCCACGCAGCACCGGACAGGCUGACGAGAACCCCGGGACAGCCACGCAGCACCGGGGAGGCCGAGGAGAACCCCGGGACAGCCACGCAGCACCAGGGAGGCCGACGAGAACCCCGGGACAGCCACGCAGCACUGGGGAGGCCAACGACUCCCAAGCCGCACACGUUAAUGGUUCAUUUCAUGUUAUCUGAAUUUUACCUCAUUUUAAAAAGCGUAAGAAUUCCCACUCAACUAUUAUCAUUAGCAGUGGUUCCCCCAGGAGAUGGAUUGGUGGGGGAAAGGACUUAUUUUAUCUGUACUACUGAAAGACUUUACAGUGAGAAUUACCAUUAGUACAUACAUAAAAAACAAAAACAAACAAAAUGUGGAGGGAAAAUUUAUACUUGAGGAAAGCUAUACUUAUUUUAAGUAAAUAUGAUUAUGCAAACAAUUCAUGCAAUCUGACUAUAAGUAUGUAGAGGGGAAAUUUCUGGAAGUGUUGUUUUUUUUUUCUGGUGUGGCAGCUUGUAGGUGAUUUUUAUUUUCUUCUUUGUGCCUGAUUUUCCAAUGUUCUUUGAUAAACAUGUUUUACUCUAAUACAGGGGGAUACACUAGUGUGGGCCGCACAAGUCCUGGCCUUCAUCUGAGAGGGCAAGGCAGGCGUGAAGCCCAGAAACCCCGCGGGAAGGAUGGGGCUUGUUUUCUCCCCCAAAACACCCAAGACCGACAUCCGCGAGGAGGCGCCACGACACCGACGUCCGAGGGGAGGCGCCAUGAGUUUCGGGAAGCUACAAUCCACACCACACCAACGCCUUUUCCAUCUAAAGAUACACUCAACCGCAAGGCUAAGCUUGGGCCCUGACCGCCAGCAUACUGUCAGUCACAGAGAGACACACAUUUACUACAACAUGUGUAGGGAGACCUUCGGAAAACAGCAUGUUUCGGUAGCUUCUCUCAAUUAUCUGUGAAUCUCCUUAUUCUGCCAUAGUAGAGUGUAUGGAAUGUGCUUUUAUUCUAAGAAAAAUGUUAUGUUCGACCUAUCAAUGGCACGCUUCAAAACAUGGCCUCAAUAAACACUGAAUACACGGAAUCCUUCUGCGUGUCGAUUAAGCUACGCCACGGCUCAUGUGCAGCACCCGCGGGGCCCUGGGGUGCCAAGUGCUCAUGGAGGCAGGUGGCUAAGGGGGAGCACCUGGGUCAGACGCCUGGGUUCAGCUCCAGGCUCCCCCACCUACCUGCGAGCCUCCUGAGCUGGCUAAGCCCCAGUUUG
Gorilla gorilla gorilla (western lowland gorilla) is the source of this 1362-nucleotide long non-coding RNA. RefSeq lists it as uncharacterized. The transcript has 2 exons. NCBI's taxonomy places the organism in Eukaryota, Metazoa, Chordata, Mammalia, Primates, Hominidae. The record is from RefSeq and is a predicted model, not a curated record.